CACUUGGCAAGUUGUGAUCACGAGAGUCCCUGCAACCGCAUCUUCGCAGUGCCUGGGUGCCCAAUGCGAUAGGGAAUCAGUCAGCCCAGACGGGGGGCCGCCCCACGCGGGCGCUACGCCGGGCACACCGCAGGGGCUCCAGGCGGAACGUUUUUUGUUAGGAGAGCCCCGAGGGCUUGAUGCUCAGAUAAGAGACAGCUGACGUGCCUGGGAGCCGAGCACGAGUGAGCAGGGGAGGGUCAGUGAGGAGGAAACCGACAGGGAUGCUGCUGGUCCUUCUCGCUAAGAAUUCCUAAAUCCGCUUCCUCCUUCUCGGGUCCUCGGCCGGUGCAUCUCAAUAGGCGGUCCCGCCGGUUGUGCUGGGCUGCGAGGAGAUGUCCCCUUCUCCACGUAGCCAUUUAGCACGGCUCACUGACCCUGCGGGCCAGCCUGGGGCUGGGAACUGCCUCUGUCCCACCGUGGGGACAGGCCGACCCUGCAGGCAAAGGACAAGCAGCUGCGAAGAUUGUCCCGGGGCAGGGUCCCAGCACCGCUGCUGCGGAUUAGUUUGCCGGUCCCUGAAGUGUGGGUGUCUGCCUCAGGCUCCCCGGAGCAGCGUGCCCCCUGACACAGCCUUCCCAGGUAAAUGGCUCACUUAGGUCCUGAAGCCAAGCUGGGACUCACCGUGGCCCCCGGGCCCAGAAGGAAGCCAAAGCCGCUAACAUCCUCCUGCUGCACCAGCCCACAGGGAGAGGGAAGUGGAGCCCCAGCCAAGCCAGGGCAUCCUCCGCACCCUGUACCCCGCUUCCCCCUCCCCCUCCCUCUCCCUGUCCCCACUCCUCCAUCCUCCCCCCUCUCCCAGGGGCUCCUCCCAGGCCUGCCCCUUCUCUGCCCUGCAGGCUCCUCCCUAGGAAGGUGUCCUUGUUCACCUGGAACUGCAACUCCUGCAGCAACCUGCGUGGCCACUUUUGAGAAUUCCCUGCAUGAUUUGAAAGCUAUUUGCAAAUAGAAGGCCAGGAACAAAGAAGUGUGUGAGAAUCUCACGCACCCUCCAUCCUACAAGAUCCAGUCCAUCGCCAACAGCCCCACCCUACACAUGGACCACAGAGCUGCUCCAAAGGGCUCCUGUCUACCCUUUUUGGGCCUGCCCAGGGCCAGGAGAGGCUCACCCAUUGACAUCAAGCUCUGAGCAACUGUGACCCAAGAAUUCCCAGCCCAAAUGUCCCCAUGCCCACCCAUCAGCCCCUGUAUAGGUCUGUCUUCCAGAGAAUGACCCCGCUGCUGAGAUUUGCCAGCUGGACUUGGGCUCUCCAGGGCCUUGUGAAAGUGGGUCUUUCAAAGCAGAAGGACAGAAUACACUUU
Long non-coding RNA from Bos taurus (domestic cattle), 1341 nucleotides. NCBI's taxonomy places the organism in Eukaryota, Metazoa, Chordata, Mammalia, Artiodactyla, Bovidae. The record is from Ensembl.